Molecule: ribosomal RNA, 476 nt
Filed under: uncultured Pelotomaculum sp.
Lineage: Bacteria; Bacillati; Bacillota; Clostridia; Eubacteriales; Desulfotomaculaceae
Description: bacterial SSU rRNA
Rfam family: Bacterial small subunit ribosomal RNA
Source: RNAcentral
GGAAUUGACGGGGCCCGCACAAGCGGUGGAGCAUGUGGUUUAAUUCGACGCAACGCGAAGAACCUUACCAGGGCUUGACAUCCCCUGACCGCGUAUGAAAGUACGUUUUCACCUCGGGUGACAGGGAGACAGGUGGUGCAUGGUUGUCGUCAGCUCGUGUCGUGAGAUGUUGGGUUAAGUCCCGCAACGAGCGCAACCCCUACGUUUAGUUGCUAACAGGUGAAGCUGAGCACUCUAGACGAACUGCCGUUGACAAAACGGAGGAAGUGGGGAUGACGUCAAAUCAUCAUGCCCCUUAUGUUCUGGGCUACACACGUGCUACAAUGGCCGGUACAGACGGAGGCGAAGCCGCGAGGCGGAGCAAAUCCGAAAAAGCCGGUCUCAGUUCGGAUUGCAGGCUGCAAUUCGCCUGCAUGAAGUCGGAAUCGCUAGUAAUCGCAGGUCAGCAUGCUACGGUGAAUACGUUCCCGGGCCUU